CCUACGGGAGGCAGCAGUGAGGAAUAUUGGUCAAUGGACGAGAGUCUGAACCAGCCAAGUAGCGUGAAGGAUGACUGCCCUCUGGGUUGUAAACUUCUUUUAUCAAGGAAUAAAACGAGGCACGUGUGCCUUUUUGUAUGUACUUUAUGAAUAAGAAUAGGCUAACUCCGUGCCAGCAGCCGCGGUAAUACGGAGGAUACGAGCGUUAUCCGGAUUUAUUGGGUUUAAAGGGAUCGUAGGUGGGUUGUUAAGUCAGUUGUGAAAGUUUGCGGCUCAACCGUAAAAUUGCAAUUGAUACUGGCAGUCUAGAGUACAGUAGAGGGAGGCGGAAUUCGUGGUGUAGCGGUGAAAUGCUUAGAUAUCACGAAGAACCCCGAUUGCGAAGGCAGCUUACUAAACUGUGACUGACAUUGAUGCUCGAAAGUGUGGGUAUCAAACAGGAUUAGAUACCCGUGUAGUG
Molecule: ribosomal RNA, 460 nt
Filed under: uncultured bacterium
Lineage: Bacteria
Description: partial 16S ribosomal RNA
Rfam family: Bacterial small subunit ribosomal RNA
Source: RNAcentral